Molecule: small nuclear RNA, 107 nt
Organism: Leptinotarsa decemlineata (Colorado potato beetle)
Lineage: Eukaryota; Metazoa; Arthropoda; Insecta; Coleoptera; Chrysomelidae
Source: RefSeq, a predicted model, not a curated record
GUACUCGCUUUGGCGGUUUAUAUACUCAAAUGGAAACAAUACAGAGAAGAUUAACAUGUUCUCUGCGCACGGAUGACACGCAAAAUUAUAAAAUGUUUUACAUUUUG